AAUAUUGGACAAUGGGGGGAACCCUGAUCCAGCCAUGCCGCGCGUGUGAAGAAGGUCUUCGGAUUGUAAAGCACUUUAAGUGGGGAGGAAGGACAGUAGGUUCAUACCUAGCUGUCUUGACGUUACUGACAGAAUAAGCACCGGCUAACUUCUUUCCAUCAGCCGCGGUAAUACGAAGGGUGCAAGCGUUAAUCGGAAUUACUGGGCGUAAAGCGCGCGUAGGCGGUUUGAUAAGUUGGAUGUGAAAGCCCCGGGCUCAACCUGGGAAUUGCAUCCAAAACUGUCUGACUAGAGUAUGGCAGAGGGUGGUGGAAUUUCCUGUGUAGCGGUGAAAUGCGUAGAUAUAGGAAGGAACACCAGUGGCGAAGGCGACCACCUGGGCUAAUACUGACACUGAGGUGCGAAAGCGUGGGGAGCAAACAGG
Molecule: ribosomal RNA, 424 nt
Filed under: uncultured bacterium
Lineage: Bacteria
Description: partial 16S ribosomal RNA
Rfam family: Bacterial small subunit ribosomal RNA
Source: RNAcentral